RNAcentral lists this ribosomal RNA (482 nucleotides) under uncultured bacterium. Its description in RNAcentral is "partial 16S ribosomal RNA". It matches the Rfam family "Bacterial small subunit ribosomal RNA", at positions 30 to 507 of the family's 1533-position model. The record is from RNAcentral.
AUUGAACGCUGGCGGCAUGCCUUACACAUGCAAGUCGAACGGUAACGGGCCUUCGGGUGCCGACGAGUGGCGAACGGGUGAGUAAUACAUCGGAACGUGCCCGAUCGUGGGGGAUAACGAGGCGAAAGCUUUGCUAAUACCGCAUACGAUCUACGGAUGAAAGCAGGGGACCGCAAGGCCUUGCGCGGACGGAGCGGCCGAUGGCAGAUUAGGUAGUUGGUGGGAUAAAAGCUUACCAAGCCGACGAUCUGUAGCUGGUCUGAGAGGAUGAUCAGCCACACUGGGACUGAGACACGGCCCAGACUCCUAUGGGAGGCAGCAGUGGGGAAUUUUGGACAAUGGGCGCAAGCCUGAUCCAGCCAUGCCGCGUGCAGGAUGAAGGCCUUCGGGUUGUAAACUGCUUUUGUACGGAACGAAAAGCCUUCUUUUAAUACAGGAGGGUCAUGACGGUACCGUAAGAAUAAGCACCGGCUAACUACGUG